Molecule: ribosomal RNA, 497 nt
Filed under: uncultured bacterium
Lineage: Bacteria
Description: partial 16S ribosomal RNA
Rfam family: Bacterial small subunit ribosomal RNA
Source: RNAcentral
GACGAACGCUGGCGGCGUGCCUAAUACAUGCAAGUUGAGCGAUGAAGAUUGGUGCUUGCACCAAUUUGAAGAGCAGCGACCGGGUGAGUAACGCGUGGGGAAUCUGCCUUUGAGCGGGGGACAACAUUUGGAAACGAAUGCUAAUACCGCAUAACAACUUUAAACAUAAGUUUUAAGUUUGAAAGAUGCAAUUGCAUCACUCAAAGAUGAUCCCGCGUUGUAUUAGCUAGUUGGUGAGGUAAAGGCUCACCAAGGCGAUGAUACAUAGCCGACCUGAGAGGGUGAUCGGCCACAUUGGGACUGAGACACGGCCCAAACUCCUACGGGAGGCAGCAGUAGGGAAUCUUCGGCAAUGGACGAAAGUCUGACCGAGCAACGCCGCGUGAGUGAAGAAGGUUUUCGGAUCGUAAAACUCUGUUGGUAGAGAAGAACGUUGGUGAGAGUGGAAAGCUCAUCAAGUGACGGUAACUACCCAGAAAGGGACGGCUAACUACGUG